CCUACGGGAGGCAGCAGUGAGGAAUAUUGGGCAAUGGAGGCAACUCUGACCCAGCCAUGCCGCGUGAGUGAAGAAGGUUUUCGGAUUGUAAAGCUCUUUCGGCUGUGACGAUGAUGACGGUAGCAUCUAAAGAAGCCCCGGCUAACUUCGUGCCAGCAGCCGCGGUAAUACGAAGGGGGCCAGCGUUGUUCGGAAUUACUGGGCGUAAGGGGAUUGUAGGCGGUUUAGUAAGAUAGUGGUGAAAUCCCAGAGCUUAACUUUGGAAUUGCCAUUAUAACUAUUAGACUAGAAUUACAGAGAGGAUAGAGGAAUACCCAGUGUAGAGGUGAAAUGCGUAGAUAUUGGGUAGAACACCAGUGGCGAAGGCGACUAUCUGGCUGUACAUUGACGCUGAGGCUCGAAAGCAUGGGGAUCAAACAGGAUUAGAUACCCUGGUAGUC
Molecule: ribosomal RNA, 440 nt
Filed under: uncultured bacterium
Lineage: Bacteria
Description: partial 16S ribosomal RNA
Rfam family: Bacterial small subunit ribosomal RNA
Source: RNAcentral